This 59-nucleotide microRNA precursor is filed under the name Notamacropus eugenii (tammar wallaby). Its description in RNAcentral is "miRNA (ENSMEUG00000017799.1)". The record is from RNAcentral. Lineage: Eukaryota; Metazoa; Chordata; Mammalia; Diprotodontia; Macropodidae.
UCAGGUCCCUGUUGAGGCGCCAUUUGUGGUGGAUGGCCUGCGUCCCCACAUGGCUAGGU